AUGGAUUCCCCCCAGCCAAAAACAACAACAACACUUUCGUAUCAUUCCCCUCUCACGGUCAUACCAACAACAACAAAACUUCGUCUCUCGACCUCUGUUCAGACCCUCGUUGAUGAACACACAACAAUUGUUUUGAACAAAAAUAAGAGCAAGCAUACAAAUGGUACCAACAAGGUACCAUAUUGGAGCCUCUCUGAUGGGUUCUUUAAACUCCCAGGGGUGCAAAAAUAA
Non-coding RNA from Vicia faba (fava bean), 231 nucleotides. NCBI's taxonomy places the organism in Eukaryota, Viridiplantae, Streptophyta, Magnoliopsida, Fabales, Fabaceae. The record is from the annotation of a GenBank genome assembly.